UUAGUGGAAGCGUCUGGAAAGGCGCGCGAUACAGGGUGACAGCCCCGUACACAAAAGCGCAUGUGCUGUGAGCUCGAUGAGUAGGGCGGGACACGUGGUAUCCUGUCUGAAUAUGGGGGGACCAUCCUCCAAGGCUAAAUACUCCUGACUGACCGAUAGUGAACCAGUACCGUGAGGGAAAGGCGAAAAGAACCCCGGCGAGGGGAGUGAAAAAGAACCUGAAACCGUGUACGUACAAGCAGUGGGAGCCCCACCACCAAAGCAUUCUCUGGUGUUGAAGGCCCUGCAAAGCAGCAUCGCGGUGGCGGAGCGUCGUUUGCGACGCCCAACACACAAAACAAGCGGUGAGUGCUUUGGGGUGGGGUGACUGCGUACCUUUUGUAUAAUGGGUCAGCGACUUAUAUUCUGUAGCAAGGUUAACCGAAUAGGGGAGCCGGAGGGAAACCGAGUCUUAAUUGGGCGUUAAGUUGCAGGGUAUAGACCCGAAACCCGGUGAUCUAGCCAUGGGCAGGUUGAAGGUUGGGUAACACUAACUGGAGGACCGAACCGACUAAUGUUGAAAAAUUAGCGGAUGACCUGUGGCUGGGGGUGAAAGGCCAAUCAAACCGGGAGAUAGCUGGUUCUCCCCGAAAGCUAUUUAGGUAGCGCCUCGUGAAUUCAUCUCCGGGGGUAGAGCACUGUUUCGGCUAGGGGGCCAUCCCGGCUUACCAACCCGAUGCAAACUGCGAAUACCGGAGAAUGUUAUCACGGGAGACACACGGCGGGUGCUAACGUCCGUCGUGAAGAGGGAAACAACCCAGACCGCCAGCUAAGGUCCCAAAGUCAUGGUUAAGUGGGAAACGAUGUGGGAAGGCCCAGACAGCCAGGAUGUUGGCUUAGAAGCAGCCAUCAUUUAAAGAAAGCGUAAUAGCUCACUGGUCGAGUCGGCCUGCGCGGAAGAUGUAACGGGGCUAAACCAUGCACCGAAGCUGCGGCAGCGAGGGAAACGGGUUAAUAUUCCCGUACUUGGUGUUACUGCGAAGGGGGGACGGAGAAGGCUAUGUUGGCCGGGCGACGGUUGUCCCGGUUUAAGCGUGUAGGUGUGUGUUCCAGGUAAAUCCGGUUCACUUUAACACUGAGGCGUGACGACGAGGCACUACGGUGCUGAAGCAACAAAUGCCCUGCUUCCAGGAAAAGCCUCUAAGCAUCAGGUAACAUCAAAUCGUACCCCAAACCGACACAGGUGGUCAGGUAGAGAAUACCAAGGCGCUUGAGAGAACUCGGGUGAAGGAACUAGGCAAAAUGGUGCCGUAACUUCGGGAGAAGGCACGCUGACACGUAGGUGAAGUGAUUUACUCACGGAGCUGAAGUCAGUCGAAGAUACCAGCUGGCUGCAACUGUUUAUUAAAAACACAGCACUGUGCAAACACGAAAGUGGACGUAUACGGUGUGACGCCUGCCCGGUGCCGGAAGGUUAAUUGAUGGGGUCAGCGCAAGCGAAGCUCCUGAUCGAAGCCCCGGUAAACGGCGGCCGUAACUAUAACGGUCCUAAGGUAGCGAAAUUCCUUGUCGGGUAAGUUCCGACCUGCACGAA
RNAcentral lists this ribosomal RNA (1573 nucleotides) under Salmonella enterica subsp. enterica serovar Infantis. RNAcentral's name for it is "partial 23S ribosomal RNA". It matches the Rfam family "Bacterial large subunit ribosomal RNA", at positions 329 to 1996 of the family's 2925-position model. The record is from RNAcentral. Lineage: Bacteria; Pseudomonadati; Pseudomonadota; Gammaproteobacteria; Enterobacterales; Enterobacteriaceae.